GUCCCUUUAGGCGCUGCAUCGGAAGGUCGUCUAAGGCUGCUGUUAUUCACUCGCUAAGAGAAAAAGAACGACAUUUAGUGAAUUAAAUCAAUUCUACAUACUAUAUACUAUCUAAUACUGGCUAUGCCUUGUGAAUAGAAUGAAAGAGAGCUGUGGCUGAAUCCACUGUCGUCACGGAGUUAAAGGCAGUGAAUUCCAUUAAAAUGGUGGAGGAUGUGGAGAUUUGAGAAGCGCUACUCACGGGAGGUCCGGUCCA
Sander lucioperca (pikeperch) is the source of this 256-nucleotide long non-coding RNA. RefSeq lists it as uncharacterized. The record is from RefSeq and is a predicted model, not a curated record. The transcript has 2 exons. NCBI's taxonomy places the organism in Eukaryota, Metazoa, Chordata, Actinopteri, Perciformes, Percidae.